This 36-nucleotide transfer RNA is filed under the name Malayemys subtrijuga (Mekong snail-eating turtle). RNAcentral's name for it is "partial tRNA-Leu". RNAcentral also lists the same sequence under 2 other names. The record is from RNAcentral. Lineage: Eukaryota; Metazoa; Chordata; Testudines; Geoemydidae.
CUUUUAAAGGAUAAAAGCAAUCCACUGGUUUUAGGA